Molecule: ribosomal RNA, 253 nt
Filed under: uncultured bacterium
Lineage: Bacteria
Description: partial 16S ribosomal RNA
Rfam family: Bacterial small subunit ribosomal RNA
Source: RNAcentral
UACGUAGGGGGCAAGCGUUGUCCGGAAUCAUUGGGCGUAAAGCGCGUGUAGGCGGCUUGGUAAGUCCGUUCUGAAAGCCCGGGGCUCAACCCCGGGAGGCGGAUGGAUACUGCUGAGCUCGAGUCCGGAAGAGGCGAGUGGAAUUCCUGGUGUAGCGGUGAAAUGCGCAGAUAUCAGGAGGAACACCGGUGGCGAAGGCGGGUCUCUGGGCCGUAACUGACGCUGAGGAGCGAAAGCAUGGGGAGCGAACAGG